This 600-nucleotide ribosomal RNA is filed under the name uncultured archaeon. RNAcentral's name for it is "bacterial SSU rRNA". It matches the Rfam family "Archaeal small subunit ribosomal RNA", at positions 155 to 756 of the family's 1478-position model. The record is from RNAcentral.
GAUAGAUCAUAGUGCCUGGAAUGGCUUAUGGUCCAAACAGUCUACUGCCAUGGGAUGGGACUGCGGCCUAUCAGCUUGUUGGUGAGGUAAUGGCCCACCAAGGCGAUUACAGGUACGGGCUCUGAGAGGAGAAGCCCGGAGAUGGGUACUGAGACACGGACCCAGGCCCUAUGGGGCGCAGCAGGCGAGAAACCUUAGCAAUGUGCGAAAGCACGACUGGGUCAGUCCGAGUGAUUCCUGAUAAAGGAGUCUUUUGCCUGUCCUAAAAGCUCUUUUUGAAUAAGGGGUGGGCAAGUCUGGUGUCAGCCGCCGCGGUAAUACCAGCACCUCGAGUGGUCAGGACGUUUAUUGGGCCUAAAGCAUCCGUAGCCGGCUCUGCAAGUCUUCGGUUAAAUCCACCUGCUCAACAGAUGGGCCGCUGGAGAUACUACAGAGCUAGGGAGUGGGAGAGGCAGACGGUAUUCAGUGGGUAGGGGUAAAAUCCUCUGAUCCAUUGAGGACCACCAGUGGCGAAGGCGGUCUGCCAGAACACGUUCGACGGUGAGGGAUGAAAGCUGGGGGAGCAAACCGGAUUAGAUACCCGGGUAGUCCCAGCUGUAA